UCGAGAAUCUUCGGCAAUGGGCGCAAGCCUGACCGAGCGACGCCGCGUGUGCGACGAAGGCCUUCGGGUUGUAAAGCACUGUCGAGGGGGAGGCCUAUCCCUGGAGGAAGCACGGGCUAAGUUCGUGCCAGCAGCCGCGGUAAGACGAACCGUGCGAACGUUGUUCGGAAUCACUGGGCUUAAAGGGCGCGUAGGCGGGCGAUCAAGUCUGGAGUGAAAUCCUCCGGCUCAACCGGAGAACAGCUUUGGAUACUGGUCGUCUGGAGUGGGGUAGGGGCGUGUGGAACGGUCGGUGGAGCGGUGAAAUGCGUUGAUAUCGACCGGAACUCCGGUGGCGAAAGCGACGCGCUGGACCCUAACUGACGCUGAGGCGCGAAAGCCAGGGGAGCAAACGGGAUUAGAUACCCUUGUAGU
This 414-nucleotide ribosomal RNA is filed under the name uncultured bacterium. RNAcentral describes it as "bacterial SSU rRNA". It matches the Rfam family "Bacterial small subunit ribosomal RNA", at positions 355 to 794 of the family's 1533-position model. The record is from RNAcentral.